GACGAACGCUGGCGGCGUGCCUAAUACAUGCAAGUUGAGCGCUGAAGGUUGGUACUUGUACCAACUGGAUGAGCAGCGAACGGGUGAGUAACGCGUGGGGAAUCUGCCUUUGAGCGGGGGACAACAUUUGGAAACGAAUGCUAAUACCGCAUAAAAACUUUAAACACAAGUUUUAAGUUUGAAAGAUGCAAUUGCAUCACUCAAAGAUGAUCCCGCGUUGUAUUAGCUAGUUGGUGAGGUAAAGGCUCACCAAGGCGAUGAUACAUAGCCGACCUGAGAGGGUGAUCGGCCACAUUGGGACUGGGACACGGCCCAAACUCCUACGGGAGGCAGCAGUAGGGAAUCUUCGGCAAUGGACGAAAGUCUGACCGAGCAACGCCGCGGGAGUGAAGAAGGGUGUCGGAUCGUAAAACUCUGUUGGUAGAGAAGAACGUUGGUGAGAGUGGAAAGCUCAUCAAGUGACGGUAACUACCCAGAAAGGGACGGCUAACUACGUG
This 497-nucleotide ribosomal RNA is filed under the name uncultured bacterium. RNAcentral's name for it is "partial 16S ribosomal RNA". It matches the Rfam family "Bacterial small subunit ribosomal RNA", at positions 28 to 507 of the family's 1533-position model. The record is from RNAcentral.